RNAcentral lists this ribosomal RNA (305 nucleotides) under uncultured bacterium. RNAcentral's name for it is "partial 16S ribosomal RNA". It matches the Rfam family "Bacterial small subunit ribosomal RNA", at positions 505 to 807 of the family's 1533-position model. The record is from RNAcentral.
ACAGCAGCAGCCGCGGUAAUACGUAGGGUGCAAGCGUUAAUCGGAAUUACUGGGCGUAAAGCGUGCGCAGGCGGUUUGUUAAGACAGAUGUGAAAUCCCCGGGCUCAACCUGGGAACUGCAUUUGUGACUGGCAAGCUAGAGUGUGGCAGAGGGGGGUGGAAUUCCGCGUGUAGUAGUGAAAUGCGUAGAUAUGCGGAGGAACACCGAUGGCGAAGGCAGCCCCCUGGGCCAACACUGACGCUCAUGCACGAAAGCGUGGGGAGCAAACAGGAUUAGAUACCCGCGUAGUCCCUGUCUCUUAUAC